GACGAACGCUGGCGGCGUGCCUAAUACAUGCAAGUAGAACGCUGAAGAGAGGAGCUUGCUCUUCUUGGAUGAGUUGCGAACGGGUGAGUAACGCGUAGGUAACCUGCCUUGUAGCGGGGGAUAACUAUUGGAAACGUUAGCUAAUACCGCAUAACAAUGGAUGACCCAUGUCAUUUAUUUGAAAGGGGCAAAUGCUCCACUACAAGAUGGACCUGCGUUGUAUUAGCUAGUAGGUGAGGUAACGGCUCGCCUAGGCGACGAUACAUAGCCGACCUGAGAGGGUGAUCGGCCACACUGGGACUGAGACACGGCCCAGACUCCUACGGGAGGCAGCAGUAGGGAAUCUUCGGCAAUGGGGGCAACCCUGACCGAGCAACGCCGCGUGAGUGAAGAAGGUUUUCGGAUCGUAAAGCUCUGUUGUAAGUCAAGAACGAGUGUGAGAGUGGAAAGUUCACACUGUGACGGUAGCUUACCAGAAAGGGACGGCUAACUACGUG
This 497-nucleotide ribosomal RNA is filed under the name uncultured bacterium. Its description in RNAcentral is "partial 16S ribosomal RNA". It matches the Rfam family "Bacterial small subunit ribosomal RNA", at positions 28 to 507 of the family's 1533-position model. The record is from RNAcentral.